Molecule: ribosomal RNA, 900 nt
Filed under: uncultured Mesoplasma sp.
Lineage: Bacteria; Bacillati; Mycoplasmatota; Mollicutes; Entomoplasmatales; Entomoplasmataceae
Description: bacterial SSU rRNA
Rfam family: Bacterial small subunit ribosomal RNA
Source: RNAcentral
UAAUACGUAGGUGGCAAGCGUUAUCCGGAAUUAUUGGGCGUAAAGGGUGCGUAGGCGGUUGAUUAAGUUUUAGGUGAAAGCGUGGGGCUCAACUCCAUACAGCCUAAGAAACUGGUCAACUAGAGUGCAGAAGAGGGUAGUGGAAUUCCAUGUGUAGCGGUAAAAUGCGUAGAUAUAUGGAGGAACACCAGUGGCGAAGGCGGCUACCUGGUCUGUAACUGACGCUCAAGCACGAAAGCGUGGGGAGCAAAUAGGAUUAGAUACCCUAGUAGUCCACGCCGUAAACGAUGGAUACUAAGUGUUGGGGAAACUCAGUGCUGCAGUUAACGCAAUAAGUAUCCCGCCUGGGGAGUAUGCACGCAAGUGUGAAACUCAAAGGAAUUGACGGGGGCCCGCACAAGCGGUGGAGUAUGUGGUUUAAUUCGACGCAACGCGAAGAACCUUACCAGGUCUUGACAUACCGGACAAGUCUAUAGAGAUAUAGAGGAGGAUGAAGGAUACAGGUGGUGCAUGGUUGUCGUCAGCUCGUGUCGUGAGAUGUUGGGUUAAGUCCCGCAACGAGCGCAACCCUUGUCUUCAGUUACCAUCAUUAAGUUGGGGACUCUGGAGAGACUGCCGGUGAUAAACCGGAGGAAGGUGGGGAUGACGUCAAAUCAUCAUGCCCUUUAUGACCUGGGCUACACACGUACUACAAUGGCAACUACAGCGUGAAGCCAGCUAGUGAUAGCGAGCAAAUCACACAAAGGUUGUCUCAGUUCGGAUUGAAGUCUGCAAUUCGACUUCAUGAAGUCGGAAUCGCUAGUAAUCGCGGNUCAGCAUGCCGCGGUGAAUACGUUCUCGGGNCUUGUACACACCGCCCGUCAAACCAUGAGAGUUGGUAAUACCCGAAGCNGNUGGCCU